RNAcentral lists this ribosomal RNA (642 nucleotides) under Hemibracon sp. RNAcentral's name for it is "partial 28S ribosomal RNA". It matches the Rfam family "Eukaryotic large subunit ribosomal RNA", at positions 437 to 811 of the family's 3401-position model. The record is from RNAcentral. Lineage: Eukaryota; Metazoa; Arthropoda; Insecta; Hymenoptera; Braconidae.
UCAUCGUCAGCUCAUUUUAUAUAUAUACUAGUUAUGAUAUGGGUUACUAACUUGUUUAGUAUUGCCUGUACAUUCUGAUAUAUUUAAUUGUAAGAUGUUGUCGGCGUGCACUUCUCCCCUAGUANGACGUCGCGACCCGUUGAGUUNNUUGGUCUACGGCCCAAGUGGAUGCUUUUAAUGAAUGAAUUUUUUAUUCAUUGAAAACCCUUGGUGUUUUCUGACUGGCACUCGUCGGUAUUCGUAUGGUAUUGAGCCGCAAUAAAAUAAAUAUUAUAUGCGUCCAUAUCUAUCACAAGCGAGGUUAGUAAAAUAUAUAUUACCGAUAGUACGGACUUUGUGCCGUCGUUGGUGCUAAUCAGCUGUUGGUUGUAUAGAAUUCUAGGACUGGCUUAUGUGAAAUACCGGUCAGCGAUGCUACUGCUUUGGGUACUUUCAGGACCCGUCUUGAAACACGGACCAAGGAGUCUAACAUGUACGCGAGUCAUUGGGAUUUUUAUAAAUUAAACCUAAAGGCGUAAUGAAAGUAAAGGUCGUCCUUGUGUCGACUAAGGGAGGAUGAGCUGUGUUAUGUAUACAGCUUCGCACUCUCGGGGGCGUCUCNUUCUCAUUAUGAGAAGAGGCGCACCUAGAGCGUACACGUUG